Molecule: ribosomal RNA, 607 nt
Filed under: uncultured bacterium
Lineage: Bacteria
Description: bacterial SSU rRNA
Rfam family: Bacterial small subunit ribosomal RNA
Source: RNAcentral
CCAGACUCCUACGGGAGGCAGCAGUAGGGAAUCUUCGGCAAUGGACGGAAGUCUGACCGAGCAGCGCCGCGUGAGUGAAGAAGGUUUUCGGAUCGUAAAGCUCUGUUGUAAGAGAAGAACGAGUGUGAGAGUGGAAAGUUCACACUGUGACGGUAUCUUACCAGAAAGGGACGGCUAACUACGUGCCAGCAGCCGCGGUAAUACGUAGGUCCCGAGCGUUGUCCGGAUUUAUUGGGCGUAAAGCGAGCGCAGGCGGUUAGAUAAGUCUGAAGUUAAAGGCUGUGGCUUAACCAUAGUACGCUUUGGAAACUGUUUAACUUGAGUGCAAGAGGGGAGAGUGGAAUUCCAUGUGUAGCGGUGAAAUGCGUAGAUAUAUGGAGGAACACCGGUGGCGAAAGCGGCUCUCUGGCUUGUAACUGACGCUGAGGCUCGAAAGCGUGGGGAGCAAACAGGAUUAGAUACCCUGGUAGUCCGCGCCGUAAACGAUGAGUGCUAGGUGUUAGACCCUUUCCGGGGUUUAGUGCCGUAGCUAACGCAUUAAGCACUCCGCCUGGGGAGUACGACCGCAAGGUUGAAACUCAAAGGAAUUGACGGGGGCCCGCACAAG